This 508-nucleotide ribosomal RNA is filed under the name uncultured bacterium. RNAcentral describes it as "bacterial SSU rRNA". It matches the Rfam family "Bacterial small subunit ribosomal RNA", at positions 17 to 518 of the family's 1533-position model. The record is from RNAcentral.
UUCUGGCUCAGGAUGAACGCUAGCGGCAGGCUUAACACAUGCAAGUCGAGGGGCAUCGGGAGUAGCAAUACCUGCCGGCGACCGGCGCAAGGGUGCGUAACGCGUGAGCAACAUGCCCGUAUCAGGGGGAUAAUCCAUGGAAACGUGGUCUAAUACCCCAUAGUAAUUAUGUAAGGCAUCUUAUAUAAUUUAAAGCUUUGGUGGAUACGGAUUGGCUCGCGUGACAUUAGCUGGAUGGUAAGGUAACGGCUUACCAUGGCUACGAUGUCUAGGGGUUCUGAGAGGAAGGUCCCCCCACACUGGAACUGAGACACGGUCCAGACUCCUACGGGAGGCAGCAGUGAGGAAUAUUGGACAAUGGAUGGAAAUCUGAUCCAGCCAUGCCGCGUGCAGGAAAGACGGCCCUAUGGGUUGUAAACUGCUUUUGUAUGGGAGCAAUAAGGGCUACGUGUAGUCCGAUGAGAGUACCAUACGAAUAAGCACCGGCUAACUCCGUGCCAGCCGCUGC